AACUCGAAGAGUAGGGCGGGACACGUGGUAUCCUGUCUGAAUAUGGGGGGACCAUCCUCCAAGGCUAAAUACUCCUGACUGACCGAUAGUGAACCAGUACCGUGAGGGAAAGGCGAAAAGAACCCCGGCGAGGGGAGUGAAAAAGAACCUGAAACCGUGUACGUACAAGCAGUGGGAGCACCUUCGGGUGUGACUGCGUACCUUUUGUAUAAUGGGUCAGCGACUUAUAUUCUGUAGCAAGGUUAACCGUAUAGGGGAGCCGCAGGGAAACCGAGUCUUAACUGGGCGUUAAGUUGCAGGGUAUAGACCCGAAACCCGGUGAUCUAGCCAUGGGCAGGUUGAAGGUUGGGUAACACUAACUGGAGGACCGAACCGACUAAUGUUGAAAAAUUAGCGGAUGACUUGUGGCUGGGGGUGAAAGGCCAAUCAAACCGGGAGAUAGCUGGUUCUCCCCGAAAGCUAUUUAGGUAGCGCCUCGUGAACUCAUCUUCGGGGGUAGAGCACUGUUUCGGCUAGGGGGUCAUCCCGACUUACCAACCCGAUGCAAACUACGAAUACCGAAGAAUGUUAUCACGGGAGACACACGGCGGGUGCUAACGUCCGUCGUGAAGAGGGAAACAACCCAGACCGCCAGCUAAGGUCCCAAAGUCAUGGUUAAGUGGGAAACGAUGUGGGAAGGCACAGACAGCCAGGAUGUUGGCUUAGAAGCAGCCAUCAUUUAAAGAAAGCGUAAUAGCUCACUGGUCGAGUCGGCCUGCGCGGAAGAUGUAACGGGGCUAAACCAUGCACCGAAGCUGCGGCAGCGACACUAUGUGUUGUUGGGUAGGGGAGCGUUCUGUAAGCCUGCGAAGGUGUGCUGUGAGGC
This 865-nucleotide ribosomal RNA is filed under the name Klebsiella pneumoniae. Its description in RNAcentral is "partial 23S ribosomal RNA". It matches the Rfam family "Bacterial large subunit ribosomal RNA", at positions 402 to 1269 of the family's 2925-position model. Lineage: Bacteria; Pseudomonadati; Pseudomonadota; Gammaproteobacteria; Enterobacterales; Enterobacteriaceae. The record is from RNAcentral.